UACGGAGGAUGCAAGCGUUAUCCGGAUUUAUUGGGUUUAAAGGGUGCGUAGGCGGAGUCUUAAGCGUGAGGUGAAAUGCCACUGCUCAACAGUGGAACUGCCUCGCGAACUGGGAUUCUGGAAUGCCCCUGCCGUGGGAGGAAUGUGUGGUGUAGCGGUGAAAUGCAUAGAGAUCACACAGAACACCGAUUGCGAAGGCAUCUCACGAACGGAUGAUUGACGCUGAGGCACGAAAGCGUGGGGAUCAAAC
RNAcentral lists this ribosomal RNA (250 nucleotides) under uncultured prokaryote. RNAcentral describes it as "partial 16S ribosomal RNA". It matches the Rfam family "Bacterial small subunit ribosomal RNA", at positions 524 to 773 of the family's 1533-position model. The record is from RNAcentral.